UAUAUAAAACAUCUUCCAUGUACAAAAUGGUAAUUUCUAGCACAAUUUUUAAGAUGGCAUAUGAAGAGUCAGUUAAAAUCUAUAAUUUUUUUGUCAUUUUCUUCCAUUUAUGCCCCUCUCCCCUCACACGGCCUCUCUCUUCUCCCCCAAAAACCUAUCACAUGCCUUCAGUUUCCAAUUGCAAAUGAAGCGUCUUGGCUUCCGGUGGUUUCCAUCGCCCCCUCUACUCUCUAUAAUACCUAUUCAGAUCGGAGAAAAAGAGAGUUGGAGAGAGAGAUGGAGCUACAAACGGAGAAAGAGAGAAUAUGAUGGAUCCGGUCGGUGAUUUCGAUGACCGGUCUACGGCGGUAUAGCCACCACCACGAAAACGUUAGCGACAAACAGAGUAGUCUUUCGUCACCACGCUUGGUUUCAAACCCUAAUGAUAUUGGCCAAAGUGGGCCGACGACUCGACGAGAGAUCAAUUCGUCUCCAAUUUCUACAGGAAAGUGAUCCAAGAUAUCUUAAAACUCAUAAAAUUAGGGUUUGAAAUUUGUGAAACUGAAAUUAGGCUGAGGUUGGUUACAGCGGCUGAGGUGGCGUCUUUGUCGACCACCAGCCACCAGUACGCCGGUAAAGCCAAUUGGAUUAGGAGAUCAAGACGAAUGAUUAUCGAAAACAACCAAAAUUGGUUAAUGGAAUGGGAGGCUGUAGCGAAAGCAUAUCACAGCUUUUAGUGUAUAUGUGUUAGCAGAAACUUACCCCUAACUUGCCUUAUGUGAAGUCUUUGUUUUAGGUUGGUUUAAGUGGUUGAAGAAUGCAACUUCGCCCAAACAGGAUUUGUGCAGGGAUAAGCGGAUUAGAGAGGUGUAUGUGCCGCAAUUUGAUCAGUUGCCUGUUGAUAUGAUGACUGGUGGUGAUCAAUGUGGUGCCAGAGUGGUUCAGGCCGAUCUCCAUAUCGGUGAAGCCACUGAGCAUGAGGCAUGGUAAACGGGCCGGGCGGGUUUGGGUUGCGGGUCAGAAUGGGUAGUUCAAAACAGGUUGGUUCAAGAAGGGUUAUUUUUUUCGGGUCCGGCUUGAGCUCUUAACCCAAUGCUCGACGUGUAAGCAACUCUGCGCGUGUGAAAUCUGAAAAAAAGAAAACCAAAUGGCGGACGCAAAGAAGAAAGAAACUACGGUUACCAUUGACAAGAAACUUCUGCAGGCUUUUAGGUUUUUUGACCGAAAUCGAUUGGGCUACAUCAGGGUUUAAGAUUUACGACUGAUCCUGCAUGCAUUGGGGAGGGGUGCGGCUGUGAUGGAGGAGAGGGGUGGAGGGGCAGCUGGUUGUGAGGGAUGACAAUGGGGCGGGGAUGCCGGCUAUAUGCGGCACCGACAUAAUAAGACAGAGCUUUUCAGAAAAAACAAACACCUCCUAAACAAAAACGUCUUCAAAAUCACCUGGACAAAGACCCAUUUCAUUAGAAAGGGCUGUCUCCAUCAUCCGGUUUGCGCUUUAUUAUGUUACUGAGCUAUAUUAGUACACUAAGUCAUUUAGGUUAUAACAAGUUAUGUUAUGUGUUAGUGACUUAUGUAUGAAGAUAGUUUCAUUAAUACUGAUAUGGGCCUUAAUAGGCUUUUGUAUGUGUUAAUGGAAUAUAAUAUGUUACACUAAAAAUUUUAUGACACAAAAAUCAUGUAAGGUGUUAAUGAGUUAUGGUUGAUGAUAUAUCUUAUAAUUGACUGUUAUGAAACUUAAUGGGUAUGGUCUAUUGGAUUACACUGAGCCAUUUUAGGUUAAUUAUGUUUUAAUCCGCGAAACUAAAUUAUUUUUAAAACUUUAAUAUAAAAUUAUGUUUUUUUAUCUUUUCCUUUUAAUCCGCGAAACUGCUAAAACUGAACCGCCUUACUGUCAAAACUGGUUCUGAUUGUUUUAUUUUCAAAGUUGUCGUUAGUAACUCGAACCUAAAUUGCUGUCAAAACCAGGCAGUGAACAUCCCUGCUUUCUAUCACCCCAUUUCUAAAUCUAUACCAACAUAAUAAUCACACUUACAUUACCAACUUGUGGUUAACAUAGAAAAACAAUCCUUUCUACACUUCACAGCGAAACUGCACAAAAGUUUCCUUUUAUAAGAAUACUCAAUUCCAUGAAAAGUGCCAACACAUUAUGCAAGUCUUUGCAUUGCAAUAUGGAGAUGGUUUAAUAGGCAAGCAACUGAUUUGGGAUGAUUUCUUAACCAUGACUCGGUCAGCAAUCAACAGCAAAAAACAUCAGAGACGGGUUAGUUCCCGAAUGAAGUUCGAGCAUCCGUCACAUAACAGCAGUGACCCGCAUACGAAGGCGGAUCAAGGAGGAAAGAGUUUCUCAGGACCUGAAGAUGUUGAGGCAUUGCGUUCCUAAUGAUUUAAAACUUUAUUAUUGGCAUUUCUUUUGUUAAAACAUUAUAAUCUUUAGCUCCAUUUUUAACAAGUUUUAUGUUAUAACGCG
Long non-coding RNA from Helianthus annuus (common sunflower), 2446 nucleotides. RefSeq lists it as uncharacterized. The transcript has 6 exons. NCBI's taxonomy places the organism in Eukaryota, Viridiplantae, Streptophyta, Magnoliopsida, Asterales, Asteraceae. The record is from RefSeq and is a predicted model, not a curated record.